RNAcentral lists this non-coding RNA (29 nucleotides) under Mus musculus (house mouse). Lineage: Eukaryota; Metazoa; Chordata; Mammalia; Rodentia; Muridae. The record is from RNAcentral.
UAAAUUGGCCUGGUCCUAGCCAUAAGGGA